CCCUCCUGCUGGCCAGUCCAACUGCUAAAAAUAGUCCCACCUGCAGCCAGAAUCAAUACCAUCACAUUUUCCACAGCAGGCAUCAGCUUGGCAGACAAUGGAGACGAUUGUGCUGUUCUCGCUCUCCCCCACGCAGCUUCCCAGGGCAGAGGAAACUUUCAAAGUGGGAUGGGGGGCACUGGAACUCACACGGUGGCUCCUAGAGCAGGGUUGGGCAAGACUGUGGUUGCAACCAAGUCCUGGGAGAGGAGAGAGAGAGAGAGAGAGGAGGGGCAGAGGCAGAGGGAGAAGCAGACGCCCCGCUGAGCAGGGAGCCUGACGCGGGGCUCAAACCCAGGAUCCUGAAAUCAUGACCUGAGCCGAAGGCAGACGCUUAACCACUGAGCCACCCAGGCAAACCAGGACUUAACAUUGUGAAGAGACCCAAUCUGUCCGUUUUAUUUCCACUUUUGCAAAUAACAACGAAUGGAUUCUACAUAAAUGAGGUAAUAUAACGUCUUCGGUAACAGUUA
Long non-coding RNA from Lutra lutra (Eurasian river otter), 512 nucleotides. RefSeq lists it as uncharacterized. Lineage: Eukaryota; Metazoa; Chordata; Mammalia; Carnivora; Mustelidae. The transcript is spliced from 2 exons. The record is from RefSeq and is a predicted model, not a curated record.